AGUGAACGCUGGCGGUAGGCCUAACACAUGCAAGUCGAACGGCAGCACAGUAAGAGCUUGCUCUUACGGGUGGCGAGUGGCGGACGGGUGAGGAAUACAUCGGAAUCUACUUUUUCGUGGGGGAUAACGUAGGUAAACUUACGCUAAUACCGCAUACGACCUACGGGUGAAAGCAGGGGAUCUUCUGACCUUGCGCGAUUGAAUGAGCCGAUGUCGGAUUAGCUAGUUGGCGGGGUAAAGGCCCACCAAGGCGACGAUCCGUAGCUGGUCUGAGAGGAUGAUCAGCAAAACUGGAACUGAGACACGGACCAGAAUACUACGGGAGGCAGCAGGGGGGAAUAUUGGACAAUGGGCGCAAGCAUGAUACAGCAAUACCGCGUGGGUGAAGAAGGACUUCGGGUUGUAAAGGCCUUUUGUUGGGAAAGAAAAGCAGCAGGUUAAUACCCCGCUGUUAUGACGGUACCCAAAGAAUAAGCACCGGCUAACUUCGUG
RNAcentral lists this ribosomal RNA (492 nucleotides) under uncultured bacterium. RNAcentral's name for it is "partial 16S ribosomal RNA". It matches the Rfam family "Bacterial small subunit ribosomal RNA", at positions 29 to 507 of the family's 1533-position model. The record is from RNAcentral.